GUCUAUGGCCACACCACCCUGAACGUGCCGAUCUCCUCUGAUCUCGGAAGCUAAGCAGGGUUUGACCUGGUUAGUACUUGGAUGGGAGACAUGAUUGCAGUAUAAC
Molecule: ribosomal RNA, 106 nt
Filed under: Cavia porcellus (domestic guinea pig)
Lineage: Eukaryota; Metazoa; Chordata; Mammalia; Rodentia; Caviidae
Source: RNAcentral